RNAcentral lists this ribosomal RNA (442 nucleotides) under uncultured bacterium. RNAcentral describes it as "partial 16S ribosomal RNA". It matches the Rfam family "Bacterial small subunit ribosomal RNA", at positions 338 to 795 of the family's 1533-position model. The record is from RNAcentral.
CCUACGGGGUGCAGCAGUGGGGAAUAUUGGGCAAUGGGCGCAAGCCUGACCCAGCAACGCCGCGUGAAGGAAGAAGGCUUUCGGGUUGUAAACUUCUUUUGUCAGGGAAGAGUAGAAGACGGUACCUGACGAAUAAGCCACGGCUAACUACGUGCCAGCAGCCGCGGUAAUACGUAGGUGGCAAGCGUUGUCCGGAUUUACUGGGUGUAAAGGGCGUGUAGCCGGGUUGACAAGUCAGAUGUAAAAUCCUGCGGCUUAACCGCAGAACUGCAUUUGAAACUGUUGAUCUUGAGUACUGGAGAGGCAGACGGAAUUCCCAGUGUAGCGGUGAAAUGCGUAGAUAUUAGGAGGAACACCAGUGGCGAAGGCGGUCUGCUGGACAGCAACUGACGGUGAGGCGCGAAAGCGUGGGGAGCAAACAGGAUUAGAUACCCCUGUAGUC